UAGCAUCCUUUGGAAGUAAAGAUUUAUCUA
This 30-nucleotide non-coding RNA is filed under the name Mus musculus (house mouse). Lineage: Eukaryota; Metazoa; Chordata; Mammalia; Rodentia; Muridae. The record is from RNAcentral.